CCCCGGCGCCCCAAGUGGUGGUCAUAAUUAUUGGGCCUAAAGCAUCCGUAGCCGGCUCUGUAAGUUUUCGGUUAAAUCUGUACGCUCAACGUACAGGCUGCCGGGAAUACUGCAGAGCUAGGGAGUGGGAGAGGUAGACGGUACUCGGUAGGAAGGGGUAAAAUCCUUUGAUCUAUUGAUGACCACCUGUGGCGAAGGCGGUCUACCAGAACACGUCCGACGGUGAGGGAUGAAAGCUGGGGGAGCAAACCGG
RNAcentral lists this ribosomal RNA (253 nucleotides) under uncultured archaeon. RNAcentral's name for it is "partial 16S ribosomal RNA". It matches the Rfam family "Archaeal small subunit ribosomal RNA", at positions 474 to 727 of the family's 1478-position model. The record is from RNAcentral.